CCCUUAGUUAUCCUAGGCCGCACGCGUGUUACAAUGACUUUUUCAGCAAGUUCUCCUGGCCCGAGAGGGUGCGGGUAAUCUGAAAUCAAAGUCGUGUUGGGGAUAGAUCUUUGCAAUUAUAGAUCUUGAACGAGGAUUUUGUAGUAAGUGCGCGUCAUCACCGCGUACUGACUGCGUCCCUGCUGUUUGUACACACCGCCCGUCGCUUCUACCGAUUGAAUGUUCCGGUGAGUAAUUUGGACCCGGGGGGGCUUGCUCCUCUGGGGAAGUUUCGCAAACCUAUGCAUUUAGAGGAAGAAGAAGUCGUAACA
RNAcentral lists this ribosomal RNA (311 nucleotides) under uncultured eukaryote. RNAcentral's name for it is "partial 18S ribosomal RNA". It matches the Rfam family "Eukaryotic small subunit ribosomal RNA", at positions 1470 to 1796 of the family's 1831-position model. The record is from RNAcentral.